CCUACGGGGGGCAGCAGUGAGGAAUAUUGGUCAAUGGCCGAGAGGCUGAACCAGCCAAGCCGCGUGAGGGAAGAAUGUCCUAUGGAUUGUAAACUUCUUUUGUCAGGGAGCAAAGUCACCCACGUGAGGGUGAUGGAGAGUACCUGAAGAAAAAGCAUCGGCUAACUCCGUGCCAGCAGCCGCGGUAAUACGGGGGAUGCGAGCGUUAUCCGGAUUUAUUGGGUUUAAAGGGUGCGUAGGCGGGUUAUCAAGUCAGCGGUAAAAUCGCGGGGCUCAACUCCGCCCAGCCGUUGAAACUGAUGAUCUUGAGUGUGCGAGAGGUAUGCGGAAUGCGUGGUGUAGCGGUGAAAUGCUUAGAUAUCACGCAGAACUCCGAUUGCGAAGGCAGCAUACCGGCGCCCAACUGACGCUGAGGCACGAAAGCGUGGGUAUCGAACAGGAUUAGAUACCCGUGUAGUC
This 459-nucleotide ribosomal RNA is filed under the name uncultured bacterium. Its description in RNAcentral is "partial 16S ribosomal RNA". It matches the Rfam family "Bacterial small subunit ribosomal RNA", at positions 338 to 795 of the family's 1533-position model. The record is from RNAcentral.